This is a non-coding RNA of Aegilops tauschii subsp. strangulata, 867 nucleotides long. The record is from RefSeq and is a predicted model, not a curated record. Lineage: Eukaryota; Viridiplantae; Streptophyta; Magnoliopsida; Poales; Poaceae.
UCUGGUUGUGAGUGGAUCCAAGAGUUCACAUGAUGCAGUAUCUUUUUGAAAGAUGAUACAUUAUCUUCAUAAAAGAAAGGAAGUUGGAGGAGUUAUUAUUGAAGAGGGAUUCAGUGGUAUGUGCUUCUCAAGAGCUAAACUGGAACAAGAAGUGCAUGACUCUCAUGCCUACACUAACUAAUCAGACUUCCCGAAGGAGAAGAAGGAGGUGCGGAAAGAGGAUGGGAGCAACAAAUCUGAAUCAAAGAGGGUGAGAAUUACUUAUCGAUGACUCGGGCAUCAACUCUUGAUUUUCGGCGGAAGACACAGGGUCAGAACAACUGGUCUGGGCCGUUGCGCCCAGUAAAUGUCAUCAGAAAUAAAUUCCCUACCUACAAGAAUGGUACGAAUGGGAUAGUCAUCAAAUUUGCUGAUGAGCCAGAAACGCCAUGACUUAAGGAGUCUGUUGCCAAAGAGACAGCAGAUCUGCUUGAUCGGCGUCAGCGUCUUUCAGUCCGCGAGCUCGCAAUGAAAUUUGAGAAGGGCCUCAGUACUGCCACAUUAUUAUCUAAUGAGGUAUGGGUCUUCCUGAUUCCUGAACACUCAUUUAGCAAUUGGUCCAGUUAUUACAGACCUUAAGUUAUUGCAUUGGCUUUAACUCUCAGGUUAAAUGUAAACAAGUAGCUUUAUUGGAGCGAGACAUCCUUCUGAAGAAUCUAAAGAGUGUAUUGGAGUCACUGAGAGGACAAGUAGCUGGCAAAUAUAAGGAUGAAUUUGAGGAAUCAGUAUCUAUGGUGGAUAUUUUAGCAGUUCAGCUGUCCAAAAGAGAAAAUGAGUUGCUUCAGCAGAAAACCGAGGUCACGAGAAUAGCGACUUCACUGAAACUGG